GAUAUUUUUCUCUUCUCUUUCCAGCGAAGAUGUACAACGGAAUCGGCCUACAAACGCCGCGAGGCUCCGGCACCAACGGCCACAUCCAGACCAACAAGUUCUUCGUCAAGUCGAAGACGAACAAAGUCCUUGUAGACGGCGGCAAAGGUUACGAGUCCGGUCAAGGAACUGCCGGAGUGUCGAGGAAAGCAAACAAGGACAUUCUCGAACAUGACCGGAAACGGCAGAUUCAGCUCAAACUUCUUGUCCUUGAGGAGAAGCUUGCCGAUCAGGGAUACACUGAUGCUGAGAUCUCCGAGAAGCUCGAGGAAGCGCGAAGGAAUCUAGAGGCAACAUCUGAGGAAUUUGGAGGACCUACCUAUGAAAAGGUUUCGGAAACACAAACACACCAGAUUGCUGCUUUGAAAGAAAAACAAAUGGAAAACUUAAAAGCUGCUCUCAAGAUAGGGGAUGAACACGAGACUCAGAAGCAGCAGCAUGAUGCUUUAGCUCAUUUUGAAGAGGGUGAAGUUAAUGACUUGGCAAAAGAGAAGGACGAGGGUAAGCGUCAUAAAAAAAAAGAGAAGAGAAGAGGACGUGACAAUUCUUCUGACACUGACAGCAGUGAAAGCCAUGCCAAAGAGUCUAAAAAGAUCCGUAAGAAGGCUCUUGCUAGUUCUGAUUCUGAUACUGCUGGUGGUAAUAAGUCAAGAAAGUUGUCUGUCAAGGGCAAGAAGGCUAGAAGGCGGCAUCACAGUGAUGAUUCAUCGUCUGAUUCUGAUUCUGACUCUUAUUCAGAGUCUGAUCAUGAGAAGAAACAGGUGAAAGUCCAUAGGAGACAUUUUGUGGGUGAUGAUGAUGGCCGUGAUGCAAAAACCAUUAAGCUUCAACAGGGUAGAAGACAUGAUUCUGAUGAGGAUGACCAUGUCAAUGACCGUGAUGUCAAAAACAAGACGAUUCAGAAAGAGAAAAGACAUGUUGCUGAGGAUAAAUAUGAUGAUGGUCGUGAUGCUAAAAACAAGACCUCACAAAGAGGUAGAAGACAUGAUUCUGAUGAGGAUGACCAUGACAAUGACCGUGAUGUCAUAAACAAGAUGAUUCAGAAAGAAAAACGACAUGUUGCUGAGGAUAAAUAUGAUGAUGGUCGUGAUGCUAAAAACAAGAAGUCACAAAGAAAACACUAUUCUGAUGAUGAUGGUGGUGGUGAUCCUGAUGUAAAAAUCAGGAAGAUUCAGGAAGGGAGAAGACAUAACUCUAAAGCUGAGUAUGUGAUUGAUGGAUCAAGUGCUAGUCAGGAGUUGUUGCGGGGUAAGAGAAAACUAGACGAUGAAAGCCUGGAUCAACGUGAGGGGAAGUCAAGGAGGAGAGAUUCUAGUAAAGACGAAAAGUAUUUAAGGGCUGAUACUGAAGCUGAGAACCCAAAUAGGUCAUACAGGAGUACAGAGGAUAGGAGUAAAGAUCAACAGACAAGAAGAUCUGGUGGAGAAUAUGAAGGUAAUGAUGGAGAGCGUGAAAAUAAGAUUCAGAGUGGGAAUGAGCUGCAACGUGAAAGCCAACGGGAGAAUCGAGAUUAUGAAGUGCGUGGACAGGAGAGAAGAGAAAGCAGGGAUGAUGACCGCUGGGAAAGGAAACACAAAAGAGAUGAAGAGGAAGAUCAGUACCGGAAGCAUGAGAAAGAAGGGGAAUCUCAGCGUGGAAGGCAUGAACAGGAGGAGGAGCAUAGAAGCAGAAUGCGUGAUAGUUACAAAGAUCAUGAUUCAUACAAGAGGGCUAGACAUGAUGAUUCACAUUCUAGUGGAAGGAGAAGAUAUGACGAUGAAAAGUAUGCUGAUAGGCAGACUAGGCGGUGAAAGCUGCUCUAUAGAUAUUGUUUUAUGUCGGAAGAUCAAUAGGUGUUUUGCUACUAUUUAGGGGUGUUUCUUAUUCGAACUUAGCUAAUCUGUGAGGGAAUAUAACUGCUGGUCAAGGCAAGGGUAAAUUCCCAAGGCAAUGAGGAGUAGAGAAAUUGGUGCUAAACUGGAAUAUUCCUUACACCUACGUUAGGAUUGUUCAUUAUAUCCCCCCUUUCAAACUGAUUAUAUCGUUGGGCUCCAAUUCUCUUACAAUUAUGACACAACGAUUCGAAGAUUUAUGGUUACUGCAUUGAACAUGCUCUUUUCCAAGUGCGCUAUGUUUCAGAAUGAAGCUUAAAAAAUCAGCUCAGUGGAGGGGAAGAAGUGGCUGAUGUCUGGAAAACAAGCAUAAAGAGGCAUAGUUUGGUGAGCUGUCUAGUAUCAAAGGGAUAUGUGUGGGGUUUAGUUCUCGAAAUACUCUGAAGUGUAGCUAAAUGGGAUUUUCCUGAUGACCCUGAAAUUGUUGUGCAAGGGUUGGCUGUAAUAAGUUCUUUUGUUGUCAUAUCUUUGACUCUUGUAUGAUUUCUUAUUUGGGAAUGUGUGCUACAUUUGCUUCCUUGUGUGAAGUGAGGUUCCAGGCUCAUGUAGAACAUGCAUGUUUUUCCUUUUGGUGAUUUUGAUUGCAAUAGAUUCUGCAGAACAUGUUUUGGAAUA
RNA transcript from Solanum tuberosum (potato), 2525 nucleotides. It is a transcript of the gene named serine/arginine repetitive matrix protein 2, with no coding region annotated. Lineage: Eukaryota; Viridiplantae; Streptophyta; Magnoliopsida; Solanales; Solanaceae. The record is from RefSeq and is a predicted model, not a curated record. The transcript has 6 exons.